GCUCUUGACUGUCUCCCACAGUAUUCUUGCCAGCAAGUUAAAAAAGUAUGGAUUGGAUGAAUGGACUAUACGGUGGAGAGAAAGCUGGCUAGAUCAUUGGACUCAA
Chelonoidis abingdonii (Abingdon island giant tortoise) is the source of this 106-nucleotide non-coding RNA. Lineage: Eukaryota; Metazoa; Chordata; Testudines; Testudinidae. The record is from RefSeq and is a predicted model, not a curated record.